Molecule: RNA transcript, 1092 nt
Organism: Cotesia glomerata
Lineage: Eukaryota; Metazoa; Arthropoda; Insecta; Hymenoptera; Braconidae
Gene: strat
Gene name: guanine nucleotide exchange factor MSS4 homolog
Exons: 3
Source: RefSeq, a predicted model, not a curated record
UAUUAUGGGAUUAUGAGUCGUGCACUUUUGGAUUUUUCAAACUUUUUUUAAUUUUCUAAAGUUUUGAUAAUUCGGAAUGCUGUCGAUUUGACUGGUUGACCGCAACCCGAAAAUUUCAGUACAAUAACACAGUUCAUCAUAUAUAUACACUUGACAAAGGCGCGCUUCCUCGUUUCCACUUCUUAUUUACCUGUAUGUACAUGAGUGUUUAUUUUUAAAUAGUGUAAGUUUUAAUAAAGCAUUUAGUCUAGUAAAUCAAUCAAUUUUUUUUACUUACUUAACAAUUUAAAAAAAUUAAUCAUUAAUUAAAAAUUAUCCACCCAAGUUCUGUGGAAGUAUUUUAUUUUUUUAUUUUUAUUUAUUCGGCUUAAUUUGAGGUUAUAUUUACAAUAACCGUCGAACAAGUAAUUUUUCAAAUUUACUGAAUAGUAAAAAAAUGACAUCAACGAUCGAAGGAAUUCGUGAAUCCAAGUGUGAUGAACUUGGAAAAAAUAAUUCUAAAAUAUGUUGUCAAUUUUGUCCAUCAAUUAUUUUAAAUCCAAGAGCGGGUACACUCGUUUCACGUGAGUUUCCGUUGCCACUGAUUGUAAAAAAAAAGAAUGAUGGCCAAUCUAAAAGUGAAACAUCAGAUCCGUCAUCUGUUGAAGUGGAAGAUUUGAAAGACUAUUGGCAAGUUGAUGACAUGUUUCAUUUCGAAAACAUAAGCGUCACACACACUGUUGAUCAAAUAAAAUAUUUAGGAUGUGCUGACUGUGAAGUAGGUCCGGUUGGAUUCCAUGAUCUUACCACUAAAAUUAAUUACAUUGCUCUAUCACGAGUAAUGUACAAAGAUUCUAAUUAAUAUUUUUCAUCGUCCACAAUUACUGCACAAUUUAAAAACUUAAAUUGAGAAUCAGAACAAGCCAAGUUGUUUCCAGUGUCGCCCAAAUAUCUUCAAAAAUCCAUUCAUUUUUAAAAUUGCAUCGGACUUCAAAAGAUUAUUAUGAUUCAUUCCACUUUUAAUCAUAAACAUUUAUUAUCUUCAUUUUAUAAUUUCACAUAAAAAAACAUUUUGGAUGCAGGGGAAGAAAUAUCAAUUUGGAAAACUGGAAA